Molecule: microRNA precursor, 94 nt
Organism: Falco tinnunculus (common kestrel)
Lineage: Eukaryota; Metazoa; Chordata; Aves; Falconiformes; Falconidae
Source: Ensembl
AUGCUGUUGUCCAGAGCCCUUUUUCUGUUGUACUACUGGCAAUUAUGAUGAGCAGUGCAAUAUUAAAAGGGCAUUGGCUGGCAGAAACAUGACC